GCUUUUAAAGGAUAACAGCUCAUCCAUUGGUCUUAGGAACCAAAGAUUCUUGGCGCAAAUCCAAGUAAAAGCU
RNAcentral lists this transfer RNA (73 nucleotides) under Trimma cana (candycane pygmy goby). RNAcentral describes it as "tRNA-Leu". It matches the Rfam family "tRNA". From Rfam's summary of the family: Transfer RNA (tRNA) molecules are approximately 80 nucleotides in length. Their secondary structure includes four short double-helical elements and three loops (D, anti-codon, and T loops). Lineage: Eukaryota; Metazoa; Chordata; Actinopteri; Gobiiformes; Gobiidae. The record is from RNAcentral.